GGGCACGUUUCUACAAAUCCUAAGAAAACUCCAAAAAAAGACAAAAUAACCCAGAAAUAAAAAUCGCCGUGGAGGCGAGUCGCCGCCGGCACCGCCCGGCACGGCCUUCUUCUCCGGCGAAGGCGGAGCUCGUUACGGGGAUUCCGCAUCCGUUAAUCGGUCCCACCGGAUCCCUCGCCGCCUCCCACGGGCCGGGCCGCGCCGUGGCGCGCGCGCAGGCCGAGAUGCGGAAGAGGAUGGAGAGCGUCGACGAUCUGAUCGAGGAGGCAAAGCUGCGCACCGUCUGGUGGGCGCUCUGCAUCUUCGCCGUCUCCUACUUCCUCACGCAUACAAGUAAAUCAAUGUGGACAAAUGUGCCCAUGUCAAUCCUUAUACUUGCAUUUCUGCGAUAUCUCUCCUUCAAAGUGGAGUUCCGUUGGAGGGAACACCCUGUACGUAAGCAGACACAUUUGUCUCAAGCCUCAAAGAGACAGUUGUCUGCAAAUGAUCAUCGCCUUUCGACUGUACCACCAGUCUCCAGAUGGAGAAGGAAAGUUGGUUCACCUUCUGUUGAGGCUGCUUUUGAAAGUUUCAUUGAGAAAAUUUUACGAGACUUUGUUUUAGACUUGUGGUACUCAGAUAUUACUCCCGACAGAGAGGCACCAGAACUGAUACGUGGCUUAGUACUUCAUGCUCUUGGUGAAUUAUCAGGCAGGGUGAAAGAGAUGAAUCUAGUUGACAUGCUAACAAGGGAUAUGGUUGAUUUGAUUGGUAAUCAUUUAGAUAUUUUUCGGAAAAAUGAAAUUCUAAUUGGCGUUGAUGUCAUGAGGACUUUGUCUUCAGAGGAAAUAGAUGAGAGACUGAAGCAGCACCUAAUAGUUUCACAGGAACUUCAUCCAGCACUGUUAUCUUCAGAGCAUGAGUACAAGGUUCUUCAAGAAAUUGUUGGGGGCAUUAUGGCUCUAGUGUUGAGACCACAGGAUGCUCAGAGUCCGCUAGUUCGCUGUUUCUCCAGGGAAUUGAUGACCUGCCUAAUCUUGCAGCCUGUUAUGAACUUCGCAAGCCCUGUCUACAUCAAUGAGUUGGUUGUCUACCUUCUAAAUGCCAAAGAUACAGGUAGCGCUGGAGGUACAAACAUGGCUAAUACAGGAACAGUAACACUAGUGCCUUACAAAGGAGGCUCACAAGGUUGUCAAAUGGAAUCAAGGAAUUUGACUGUAGAAACUAGCGGUUUAGUUCCACCAAAUAAUUCUGGGAUGAGAUCACUUGUUACUUCUGAAUGUGGAAAGUCAAAAGUGUCAGAGGAUGACAAUGAUGGUACCAUCCAACCUCGUCAGCCAGACUGGGCGGCGGUAUUGGAUGCAGCUACUAAAAGAAGGUCAGAGGUUCUUGCCCCUGAGAAUCUUGAGAACAUGUGGGCAAUUGGAAGAAAUUAUCAAAAGAAAAUGGUUAAAUUAGACCACUCAUCAAGACAGAAAGGCUCUGAAGGUUCAGAUAAUAGUACAAGUGCAGGGGCAGUUGGUAAAGAGCUAUCCUCUAACUUCAACGACAGAAUUGCAUCUGUUGAUGAUAAAUACAUGGUCAAUUUGAUGCAAAGUAAAAAUAGGAAUGCUCAAUCUACCUUCGUCACAGGUAGUCAUCCACUUGCUCUACAAAAUAUGAAUGAAGUGAAACCAAAAGAGGGGAGUCAAGUUAAUUUUACCAGCAAGGAAAAACCACAUGAAACCAGCAACAGAGUAAAAGCCCAACUAAAACGGUGUAAUAGUACUCCUGAUAUUGAGAAAAGAUAUUUGGCAAAAAGUAACCAGCCCAUGGUUUCCAGUGAAAGGCUAAAUGUGAGGAUAAAUCAGGAUGAGAGAGGUGUUGGUCCUGCCUCACAUGUUGAGGUGCUAAUGCAUGUUCCGAAGAUAAGAUGUCGGGUUGUUGGUGCAUAUUUUGAGAAACAAGGUUCAAAAUCUUUUGCAGUUUAUUCUAUUGUGGUGACUGAUGCGGAUAACAAGAGCUGGUUUGUGAAAAGAAGAUACCGGAAUUUUGAACGUCUUCAUCGACAACUGAAGGAGAUACCUAAUUAUUCAUUACAUCUGCCUCCAAAGAGUUUUCUUUCAUCUAGCGUUGAUGAUUAUCUUGUGCACCAACGGUGCAUUCUCCUGGACAAAUAUCUUCAAGAUCUCUUGUCUAUAGCUAAUAUUGCAGAGCAGCAUGAAGUUUUGGAUUUUCUGAGUGCAUCCUCAAAGACUUACUCUGCUGGAAAGUCCUCCUCUGUUAUGAAAACCUUGGCUGUUAAUGUUGAUGAUGCAAUGGAUGACAUUGUUCGACAAUUUAAAGGAGUUUCAGAUGGUUUGAAACGGGCGGUCGGCACAUCACCUUCUAGUGCAACUGCCCAAUUUGCAGAUAAUAGGAUGUCUCUAUCUUGGAACCAGGAAGAGAAAGAUAACCACAACUUGCAUCAAAGAAACUUGGAAAGGGCUCAUAGCCUUUCAGAUGGUGAUAGUAACUAUGAAGAUCACAUCUCUUCUGUGAAUAGUGGAUGCCAUUCAGACAAUGAGGUCAAUAAUAGAGGACAUACUUCAAAUGAUGUUGAGCACAUCGAAACAUGCUCUAGUUUGGAUAAACAAGCCAGCGACCAAAUAGGAAAACCUGCAAAGGAAUAUUCUGAUUCUUCAAACAUGUCAUCUCUAAAUGCAUUUGAGGAUCCAACAGGAAUUCCUCCUGAGUGGAUGCCAACAAAUGUUAGUGUGCCUUUAUUGAACCUGGUUGACAAAGUAUUCCAGCUAAAGCGACGGGGUUGGAUACGGUUCUUUGGAUAUCAAAACAAAUUUUGCAGUUGGUCAUGGAAGAUGCAAUUGAUGAAUGGAUCAUAAGACAAAUCAAUUGGCUCCGAAGAGAAGAUGUCAUCGUACAAGGAAUACAUUGGAUUCAAGAUACCCUUUGGCCAAAUGGUAUAUUCUUCACCAAGUUGGAUGAAUAUAAAGGGAAUGCAGGCACAAGUGAAUUUGACAAGCAGUCAUUAGGGAGUCCCACACUGGCUGUUGGCAAUAAAAAGGGCCGCACAAGCUCUUUUGAACUUCAUCUUGAGGCAUCCAGAAAUGCCAGUGAGGUCAAAAAACUUAUUUUAGAUGGAACUCCAUCGGCCUUGGUCAGCAUAAUUGGAUACAAGCAGUACCGGCGCAGCGCAAGGGACAUGUACUACUUCCUCCAAUCCAACGUCUGCAUCAAACAGCUCGCAUAUGCAAUGCUAGAGCAGGUCCUCGUGACAGUCUUCCCAGAGCUUCGCCAGCUAAUAGAAGACAUACAUGAGAAAGGCCGCAAAGAGCAAGCCUCAUUCACAUACCAACUCUGACCCAAGAGAAAACAUGCUAAUUCAGAGAGGAGUCGCAACAAUUUUGAACGCACUUGCAUUGCUCCACGGUGAGUUACUGAAACACAAAGCCUUUGCAAUUAUAUUUUGAUGAUGCAUAAGUUGGAUUGAGGAAGUGCUUGGUGCUUAAGAAUGAUCUGUACAGAUGUAUAUCAGAGGUUAUGUAAAUUAUCCCCCUGAUGUAGUCAACCAGAACAACUUACAGUGAGAUCUUGUAGGUGUUGAAUGUAAUGUAUCAUUCUUUAAUUCCCCCCCCCCCCCCCCCCCCCCCCCCCCCCAAGAAUUAAGUUAUUCUCCCCCCUGACUUAUGCUGAGGCUUGUAAAGUUUUGAAAGUUCCAAGUGUAUAGCUGUACUGUUUGUGUUGCUGAGUAAAUCAAAAUGUUGCGCGAGAUGCCA
Molecule: RNA transcript, 3734 nt
Organism: Zea mays
Lineage: Eukaryota; Viridiplantae; Streptophyta; Magnoliopsida; Poales; Poaceae
Exons: 15
Source: RefSeq, marked validated